GACGACGCUGGCGGCGCGCCUAACACAUGCAAGUCGAACGGAGACAUCUUUAGCUUGCUUUAGAUGUCUUAGUGGCGGACGGGUGAGUAACACGUGAGCAACCUGCCUUUCAGAGGGGGAUAACGUUUGGAAACGAACGCUAAUACCGCAUAACGUAUACGGACGGCAUCGUCUGUAUACCAAAGGAGCAAUCCGCUGAGAGGUGGGCUCGCGUCCGAUUAGGUAGUUGGUGAGGUAAACGGGCCCACCAAGCCGACGAUCGGUAGCCGACCUGAGAGGGUGAUCGGCCACAUUGGGACUGAGACACGGCCCAAACUCCUACGGGAGGCAGCAGUGGGGAAUAUUGGGCAAUGGGGGAAACCCUGACCCAGCAACGCCGCGUGAAGGAAGAAGGCUUUCGGGUUGUAAACUUCUUUUAAGGGGGAAGAGUAGAAGACGGUACCCCUUGAAUAAGCCACGGCUAACUACGUG
Molecule: ribosomal RNA, 471 nt
Filed under: uncultured bacterium
Lineage: Bacteria
Description: bacterial SSU rRNA
Rfam family: Bacterial small subunit ribosomal RNA
Source: RNAcentral